This is a non-coding RNA of Nannospalax galili (Upper Galilee mountains blind mole rat), 1169 nucleotides long. NCBI's taxonomy places the organism in Eukaryota, Metazoa, Chordata, Mammalia, Rodentia, Spalacidae. The record is from the annotation of a RefSeq genome assembly.
AUGGGUGGCAAAGGCAUGAAGGCCAGCCCCUACCAGGAAUUAGCUCAGGCAGGUGGUGUGAGGACACCCAUCUCACUUGUGUCCCGUAUUCCAGAGUCCCCGAAGAAACCCGAUGUCUACCCCCUGAGCCUCCCUAAAGCCGCAUUAGGAUCCGAGUCAGUGACCAUCGGCUGCCUGAUUCAGAAUUACUUCCCCUCGGAACCUGUGAGCGUGACCUGGAGCAAGAGUGGCGCCACCAUAAACUACCCACCUGCCCAGGCCGAGAGCCUCUACACCAUGAGCAGCCAGCUGACCCUGCCCGCUGCUGAGUGCCCAGAGAAUACAUCCGUGACGUGCUCUGUGCAGCACUACACUAACCCCGUCCAGACAAUGGAUGUGCCCUGCCUUGUUCCAGAUCCAGUUCCACCUCCUAUUUGCCCGAACUGCAACCUCCGACUGUCGCUGCAACGGCCAAACCUUGAGGACCUGCUUAUGGGCUCGGAUGCCAGCCUCACAUGCACACUGAGUGGCCUGAGAAACCCUGAGGGAGCCACCUUCACCUGGGAGCCCAGCACCGGGAAGAAUGCCGUGCUGAAGGCACCAGUGCAGGACUCCCAAGGCUGGUACAGUGUGUCCAGCGUCCUGCCUGGCUGUGCUGAGCCCUGGAACAGUGGGACGACCUUCAAAUGCACAGUCCGCCACCCUGAGUCCAAGGAGCCGCUAACUGAAAGCAUCGCCAAAGAAAGAGAAAACAAAUUCCCACCCCAGGUCCAUCUGCUACCGCCGCCGUCGGAGGAGCUGGGCCUGAACGAGCUGGUGUCCCUGACCUGUCUGGUGCGAGGAUUCAGCCCUAAAGAUGUGCUAGUACGCUGGCUGCAAGGAAACCAGGAACUUCCCAAGGAAAACUACCUCGUGUUCGAACCCAUGAAAGAGUCAAGCGAGGGUCCCACCACCUACGCGGUGACCAGUGUGCUGCGUGUUUCCGCUGAAUCCUGGAAACAGGGUGACAACUUCUCCUGCAUGGUGGGCCACGAGGCCCUGCCCCUGGCCUUUACCCAGAAGACCAUCGACCGCCAGUCGGGUAAACCCACCCACGUCAACGUGUCUGUAGUCAUGUCAGAGGCAGAUGGCGUCUGCUACUGAGCUGCCUCACCUGCCCCAUCCCCUAAUAAACUCUGUGCUUAUCCAAA